UCCAUCUUCUCCAUUCCCAGCCUAUCCAGGAGCUCUCUCCAGGCACUCACCAGGGAUGGAGAUCUCCAGCUCAACUGCUGCUGCUUCUGAGAGCUGAGACUCUGAGAGCUUUCCCUGUUCAUCCCAGAUCCCUUCCUGCACAGGAAACUACAACUGCUCCAGCCACAUUUUGUUCCCAAGGGAAUGAAUCCUUGCACCAUCUCAGGCACCUGCCAUCACCGAAUAAACCAGGUCUGGGCUUCUGCUGCUCCUGGAGAAAGCCUGGCUGGCUGAACUGACAUCUCUGCUCAAGCCCUUCUGCAGCAUUGUAAAAUGAGAAUAACCAGUAAUACAAUGUAUAUUUAUGCUAUAAUUUCAAUCAUUAAAUAAAAUGUCACUGCAUACACACA
Serinus canaria (Common canary) is the source of this 389-nucleotide long non-coding RNA. RefSeq lists it as uncharacterized. The transcript has 2 exons. Lineage: Eukaryota; Metazoa; Chordata; Aves; Passeriformes; Fringillidae. The record is from RefSeq and is a predicted model, not a curated record.